This 162-nucleotide ribosomal RNA is filed under the name uncultured bacterium. RNAcentral describes it as "partial 16S ribosomal RNA". It matches the Rfam family "Bacterial small subunit ribosomal RNA", at positions 330 to 509 of the family's 1533-position model. The record is from RNAcentral.
ACAGAGCGCCUACGGGAAGCAGCAGUCGGGAAUAUUGCGCAAUGGAGGAAACUCUGACGCAGUGACGCCGCGUAUAGGAAGAAGGUUUUCGGAUUGUAAACUAUUGUCGUGAGGGAAGAAAAUGACAGUACCUCAGGAGGAAGCUCCGGCUAACUAUGUGCC